AGAUUGAACGCUGGCGGCAGGCCUAACACAUGCAAGUCGAGCGGUAGAGAGGUGCUUGCAUCUCUUGAGAGCGGCGGACGGGUGAGUAAUGCCUAGGAAUCUGCCUAGUGGUGGGGGAAUAACGUUCGGAAACGGACGCUAAUACCGCAUACGUCCUACGGGAGAAA
Molecule: ribosomal RNA, 167 nt
Filed under: uncultured soil bacterium
Lineage: Bacteria
Description: partial 16S ribosomal RNA
Rfam family: Bacterial small subunit ribosomal RNA
Source: RNAcentral